Molecule: unclassified non-coding RNA, 200 nt
Filed under: soil metagenome
Description: partial contains internal transcribed spacer 2 and large subunit ribosomal RNA
Source: RNAcentral
CUCAAAAGGAUUAGCUGGACUUGUCUUGAGACCUGGUUUGACUUGGUGUAAUAAAGUAUUUCGCCGAGGACACCCCUUGUGGGUGGCCAGACCUUGCCGACGUGAUGUCUGCUCUCUAACCCUGGUGGUCGGCUCGUGCCUUCCCCAACGCACUUUUAUGAUCUGGCCUCAAAUCAGGUAGGACUACCCGCCGAACUUAA